This 619-nucleotide ribosomal RNA is filed under the name Clostridioides difficile. RNAcentral's name for it is "bacterial SSU rRNA". It matches the Rfam family "Bacterial small subunit ribosomal RNA", at positions 197 to 841 of the family's 1533-position model. The record is from RNAcentral. Lineage: Bacteria; Bacillati; Bacillota; Clostridia; Peptostreptococcales; Peptostreptococcaceae.
AAUAUCAAAGGUGAGCCAGUACAGGAUGGACCCGCGUCUGAUUAGCUAGUUGGUAAGGUAACGGCUUACCAAGGCGACGAUCAGUAGCCGACCUGAGAGGGUGAUCGGCCACAUUGGAACUGAGACACGGUCCAAACUCCUACGGGAGGCAGCAGUGGGGAAUAUUGCACAAUGGGCGAAAGCCUGAUGCAGCAACGCCGCGUGAGUGAUGAAGGCCUUCGGGUCGGAAAACUCUGUCCUCAAGGAAGAUAAUGACGGUACUUGAGGAGGAAGCCCCGGCUAACUACGUGCCAGCAGCCGCGGUAAUACGUAGGGGGCUAGCGUUAUCCGGAUUUACUGGGCGUAAAGGGUGCGUAGGCGGUCUUUCAAGUCAGGAGUGAAAGGCUACGGCUCAACCGUAGUAAGCUCUUGAAACUGGGAGACUUGAGUGCAGGAGAGGAGAGUGGAAUUCCUAGUGUAGCGGUGAAAUGCGUAGAUAUUAGGAGGAACACCAGUUGCGAAGGCGGCUCUCUGGACUGUAACUGACGCUGAGGCACGAAAGCGUGGGGAGCAAACAGGAUUAGAUACCCUGGUAGUCCACGCUGUAAACGAUGAGUACUAGGUGUCGGGGGUUACCCCC